UAUGAUGGUUUGUUGUAUUUGCUCAGGAUGAACGCUGGCGGUAUGCUUAACACAUGCAAGUCGAACGGGAUGCUUAGGCAUCUAGUGGCGGACGGGUGAGUAACGCGUGAGAAUCUGGCUCCAGGUCGGGGAUAACAGUUGGAAACGACUGCUAAUACCGGAUGUGCCGAGAGGUGAAAGAUUUAUUGCCUGGAGAUGAGCUCGCGUCUGAUUAGCUAGUUGGUGGUGUAAGGGACCACCAAGGCGUCGAUCAGUAGCUGGUCUGAGAGGAUGAUCAGCCACACUGGGACUGAGACACGGCCCAGACUCCUACGGGAGGCAGCAGUGGGGAAUUUUCCGCAAUGGGCGAAAGCCUGACGGAGCAAUACCGCGUGAGGGAGGAAGGCUCUUGGGUCGUAAACCUCUUUUCUCAAGGAAGAAGAAAGUGACGGUACUUGAGGAAUAAGCAUCGGCUAACUCCGUGCCAGCAGCCGCGGUAAUACGGAGGAUGCAAGCGUUAUCCGGAAUGAUUGGGCGUAAAGGGUCUGCAGGUGGAACUGAAAGUCUGCUGUUAAAGAGUUUGGCUUAACCAAAUAAAAGCGGUGGAAACUACAGAACUAGAGUGCGGUAGGGGCAAAAGGAAUUCCUGGUGUAGCGGUGAAAUGCGUAGAUAUCAGGAAGAACACCGGUGGCGAAAGCGUUUUGCUAGACCGUAACUGACACUGAGGGACGAAAGCUAGGGGAGCGAAUGGGAUUAGAUACCCCAGUAGUCCUAGCCGUAAACGAUGGAUACUAGGCGUGGCUUGUAUCGACCCGAUGGGGG
Molecule: ribosomal RNA, 802 nt
Filed under: Cylindrospermopsis raciborskii N4
Lineage: Bacteria; Bacillati; Cyanobacteriota; Cyanophyceae; Nostocales; Aphanizomenonaceae
Description: bacterial SSU rRNA
Rfam family: Bacterial small subunit ribosomal RNA
Source: RNAcentral